This 466-nucleotide ribosomal RNA is filed under the name uncultured bacterium. RNAcentral's name for it is "bacterial SSU rRNA". It matches the Rfam family "Bacterial small subunit ribosomal RNA", at positions 28 to 526 of the family's 1533-position model. The record is from RNAcentral.
GAUGAACGCUAGCGGCAGGCCUAACACAUGCAAGUCGAGGGGCAGCACGGAAUGUAGCUUGCUACAUCUGGUGGCAGACGGGUGAGUAAUGUAUAGGAAUCUACCUAGUAGUAUGGAAUAAUUGUUGGAAACGGCAACUAAUACCGUAUACGCCCUACGGGGGAAAAAUUUAUUGCUAUUAGAUGAGCCUAUAUUAGAUUAGCUAGUUGGUGGAGUAACAGCCUACCAAGGCAAUGAUCUAUAGCUGAUCUGAGAGGAUGAUCAGCCACACUGGAACUGAGAUACGGUCCAGACUCCUACGGGAGGCAGCAGUGGGGAAUAUUGGACGAUGGGCGAAAGCCUGAUCCAGCCAUGCCGCAUGAGUGAAGAAGGCCUUUGGGUUGUAAAGCUCUUUUAGUGAGGAAGAUAAUGACGGUACUCACAGAAGAAGUCCUGGCUAACUCCGUGCCAGCCGCCGCAGUAAAAC